GUAACAAGGUCUCCGUUGGUGAACCAGCGGAGGGAUCAUUACUGAGUUAUCUAAACUCCCAACCCUUUGUGAACCUUACCGUCGUUGCCUCGGCGGGCUGUGCCUACCCUGUAGCUACCCUGUAGCUACCCGGUAGGUACGCUGCAAGCCCGCCGGUGGACCACCAAACUCUGUUUUAAUACUGAAUCUCUGAAUGCUUCAACUUAAUAAGUUAAAACUUUCAACAACGGAUCUCUUGGUUCUGGCAUCGAUGAAGAACGCAGCGAAAUGCGAUAAGUAAUGUGAAUUGCAGAAUUCAGUGAAUCAUCGAAUCUUUGAACGCACAUUGCGCCCAUUAGUAUUCUAGUGGGCAUGCCUAUUCGAGCGUCAUUUCAACCCUUAAGCCUAGCUGCUUAGUGUUGGGAAUCUGCCCUGCUCCUGCAGCGCAGUUCCCCAAAGUGAUCGGCGGAGUUAGGGCAUACUCUAAGCGUAGUAAUAUCUCUUCUCGCUUCUGUAGUUGUCCUGGCGGCUUGCCGUUAAACCCCUAUAUUUCUAGUGGUUGACCUCGGAUUAGGUAGGAAUACCCGCUGAACUUAAGCAUAUCAAAGCAAAAGAAACCAACAGGGAUUGCCCUAGUAACGGCGAGUGAAGCGGCAACAGCUCAAAUUUGAAAUCUGGCCCUAGCGGUCCGAGUUGUAAUUUGUAGAGGAUGCUUUUGGUUAGGUGCCUUCCGAGUUCCCUGGAACGGGACGCCGGAGAGGGUGAGAGCCCCGUACGGUUGGACACCGAGCCUCUAUAUAGCUCCUUCGACGAGUCGAGUAGUUUGGGAAUGCUGCUCUAAAUGGGAGGUAAAUUUCUUCUAAAGCUAAAUACCGGCCAGAGACCGAUAGCGCACAAGUAGAGUGAUCGAAAGAUGAAAAGUACUUUGAAAAGAGGGUUAAAUAGCACGUGAAAUUGUUGAAAGGGAAGCGUUUGCGACCAGACUUUUUCCAGGCGGAUCAUCCGGUGUUCUCACCGGUGCACUUCGCCUGGUUUAGGCCAGCAUCGGUUCUCUUAGGGGGAUAAAGGCCUGGGGAACGUAGCUCCCUCGGGAGUGUUAUAGCCCCUCGCGUAAUACCCUUCGGGGGACCGAGGAACGCGCAUCUGCAAGGAUGCUGGCGUAAUGGUCGUCAACGACCCGUC
This 1161-nucleotide ribosomal RNA is filed under the name Daldinia sp. CHTAE33. Its description in RNAcentral is "eukaryotic LSU rRNA". The stretch from base 540 to 1161 matches the Rfam family "Eukaryotic large subunit ribosomal RNA", at positions 1 to 653 of the family's 3401-position model. Lineage: Eukaryota; Fungi; Ascomycota; Sordariomycetes; Xylariales; Hypoxylaceae. The record is from RNAcentral.